UUGGUUAUUCCUUGGUAUGGUUACUAGCAAUCCACAUUAUCAUAACAAACAGUUCACAAUGAAUUGGUAGGCAAUAUUUUCUUUUAUUGCCUUGCCAAUAACCGUAUCACCCUAGUGUAUGUAGGCUAAAAUUUAAAUGUUGAGAUUGGUUUUUGUGAAUCCUAAAACCCACACUAAAAAUUUAGUAGUGUUUGUAUUUGCAAAUUAGGAAAAAUAAACUACCUGGGCAACCAUAUCUUAAAAUACAGUGAUGUAAUCAGACUUAGAUGGACGAAAAUAGAUUUACAUAUUGAUGUAAACGAGUUUAAUGGUAAACGAAACAAGACCUAGACUAAGAACAAAAAGAAGGAGAUCGAUAUGUUUAGGGUUGAAAAAGCUCGAGGUCGAUUGUAAAGUGUGUGUCAGUGUGUGUACGAUUGUGAAUAUCUCUCUCUUCUGGCCUCUCCCUCCUUUUAAAGUUUCUCAAGUUUACGUCCGAUAUCUUCUCCUUUAUUUCUUCAUCGUGAUCCCGACAAUCUCGGGGACUUGGUGGUUGCCGCGAAUAUCAGGAGUUUGUGGAGCAUCGUCUCUUUGACCAAGUCUCAUCGCUUUCAUUCGGAUUCGGUGGUCGUCGACUUCUAUGUUCGUUCAGCUCGAGCCCAACCUCGAACAUUUUAUCAUCUCUCCGGCUCGAACUCGACCUUUAGAUCUAUUUAGCUCGAGGCAUGACAUCUUGAUGGUUUCGGGAUAAAGGCCCACCAAUAAUUCCUUAAGAUCGUCCUCAUCCUCUUCCUCUAGACCGAGGUAUUGUGCUUUCGUUGGCUCUGUCUUCUCGU
This 815-nucleotide long non-coding RNA is filed under the name Brassica rapa (field mustard). RNAcentral's name for it is "long non-coding RNA (BRAP_LNC002740)". Lineage: Eukaryota; Viridiplantae; Streptophyta; Magnoliopsida; Brassicales; Brassicaceae. The record is from RNAcentral.